GGGGUCGUGGCUCAGUGGUAGAGUGCUCGUCUAGCACGUGUGAGGCACUGGGUUUGAUCCUCAGCACCACA
RNAcentral lists this transfer RNA (71 nucleotides) under Marmota monax (woodchuck). RNAcentral's name for it is "tRNA.Ala". Lineage: Eukaryota; Metazoa; Chordata; Mammalia; Rodentia; Sciuridae. The record is from RNAcentral.